This 168-nucleotide ribosomal RNA is filed under the name Triticum aestivum (bread wheat). RNAcentral describes it as "partial small subunit ribosomal RNA". The record is from RNAcentral. Lineage: Eukaryota; Viridiplantae; Streptophyta; Magnoliopsida; Poales; Poaceae.
UCCUCGCCGGCCCAGACGGGGAAGACGAAGAUGGUGGUGCAGAGGCAGGUAAGGACGCCGAUGACGAUGGUGGAGAAGCGCUGGUGCGCCAGCUGAAUGAGCUCCUCCACGCGGUAGCUCGACACGGCCACCAGGCUGAAGGUGAGUAUGAAGAUGGUCACGCCGUAG